RNAcentral lists this ribosomal RNA (500 nucleotides) under uncultured Glomeromycotina. RNAcentral's name for it is "partial small subunit ribosomal RNA". It matches the Rfam family "Eukaryotic small subunit ribosomal RNA", at positions 591 to 1092 of the family's 1831-position model. The record is from RNAcentral. Lineage: Eukaryota; Fungi; Glomeromycota.
CCAAUAGCGUAUAUUAAAGUUGUUGCAGUUAAAAAGCUCGUAGUUGAAUUUCGGGGUUAGUAGGUUGGUCAUGCCUCUGGUAUGUACUGGUCUCACUGAUUCCUCCUUCCUGACGAACCUUAAUGCCAUUAAUUUGGUGUUUUGGGAAAUUUGGACUGUUACUUUGAAAAAAUUAGAGUGUUUAAAGCAAGCUAACGCUUGAAUACAUUAGCAUGGAAUAAUGAAAUAGGACGUUCGAUCCUAUUUUGUUGGUUUCUAGGAUUGACGUAAUGAUUAAUAGGGAUAGUUGGGGGCAUUAGUAUUCAAUUGUCAGAGGUGAAAUUCUUGGAUUUAUUGAAGACUAACUACUGUGAAAGCAUUUGCCAAGGAUGUUUUCAUUAAUCAAGAACGAAAGUUAGGGGAUCGAAGACGAUCAGAUACCGUCGUAGUCUUAACCAUAAACUAUGCCGACUAGGGAUCGGAUGAUGUUAAUUUUUUAAUGACUCAUUCGGCGCCUUACG